Molecule: transfer RNA, 77 nt
Filed under: Pararhodospirillum photometricum DSM 122
Lineage: Bacteria; Pseudomonadati; Pseudomonadota; Alphaproteobacteria; Rhodospirillales; Rhodospirillaceae
Description: tRNA-Ala
Source: RNAcentral
CAUCGACACCCAUGACAAAGUGGCCGCCGCCCACAGCCGAGUGGAGGCCGCGCGCAACCGGGCCCGGGAAACCCUGG